This 378-nucleotide ribosomal RNA is filed under the name Triticum aestivum (bread wheat). Its description in RNAcentral is "partial small subunit ribosomal RNA". Lineage: Eukaryota; Viridiplantae; Streptophyta; Magnoliopsida; Poales; Poaceae. The record is from RNAcentral.
AUGGCGAGCAAGGAGACAAACGCAUGGAGCAGAUGUGUGUGGCGAGCCGCUCAUGGCCGAUGCAGCGGCUGUCUCUACUGCUGGGUUCCAGUGCUACCCCGCCAGUCACUGUUGCCCCAUGUUGGGUGUUCCAGAGCUUCAAUGUUUUCAGUUCGUAGUUUGGAUGCUUUUCAGCUCAUCUACUUUCCAAUCAAAAGUCUGAUCAUCUUUGUGUUUCCAUAUUCUGCACAAGAAUCAUUACACAUGCUGGUAUCUCAUCUCUUAGAUUUUUAUUUUUUCAGGAUGCAGCCAAAACCAGAUGUAGCAGUUACAAAAAGGGUGAAAUUGGAGGAUCUACAUUAUUCUUGUUGGACGUUUAGAAAACAAGCAAAAUUUUGA